RNAcentral lists this ribosomal RNA (473 nucleotides) under uncultured Anaerolineaceae bacterium. Its description in RNAcentral is "bacterial SSU rRNA". It matches the Rfam family "Bacterial small subunit ribosomal RNA", at positions 897 to 1382 of the family's 1533-position model. Lineage: Bacteria; Bacillati; Chloroflexota; Anaerolineae; Anaerolineales; Anaerolineaceae. The record is from RNAcentral.
AAACUCAAAGGAAUUUGACGGUCCCCGCACAAGCAGCGGAGCGUGUGGUUUAAUUCGUUGCUACACGAAGAACCUUACCUGGGUUUGACAUAGCAGUGGUAGGGAAGCGAAAGCGGACCGACCCUUCGGGGAGCUGUUACAGGUGUUGCAUGGCUGUCGUCAGCUCGUGUCGUGAGAUGUUCGGUUAAGUCCGCUAACGAGCGCAACCCGCGUGGUGUGUUACAAGUGUCACACCAUACUGCCGAUAUUAAGUCGGAGGAAGGUGCGGAUGACGUCAAGUCAGCAUGACCUUUAUAUCCAGGGCUACACACACGCUACAAUGGUAGGUACAACAGGUUGCCAAGCCGCGAGGCGGAGCCAAUCCUCUAAAGCCUACCUCAGUUCAGAUUGCAGGCUGCAACUCGCCUGCAUGAAGUUGGAGUUGCUAGUAACCGUAGGUCAGCUAUACUGCGGUGAAUACGUUCCCGGGGAUU